RNAcentral lists this ribosomal RNA (438 nucleotides) under uncultured bacterium. RNAcentral's name for it is "bacterial SSU rRNA". It matches the Rfam family "Bacterial small subunit ribosomal RNA", at positions 481 to 917 of the family's 1533-position model. The record is from RNAcentral.
UGCGAAUAAGUCACGGCUAACUACGUGCCAGCAGCCGCGGUAAUACGUAGGUGACGAGCGUUAUCCGGAAUUACUGGGCGUAAAGCGCACGCAGGCGGCUGAAUAAGUCUGACGUGAAAUCUCUCGGCUUAACCGGGAGGGGUCGUUGGAGACUGUUUGGCUUGAGGCGAUGAGAGGGGUGUAGAAUUCCCGGUGUAGUGGUGGAAUGCGUAGAUAUCGGGAGGAAUACCAGUGGCGAAAGCGGCACCCUGGCAUUAGCCUGACGCUCAUGUGCGAAAGCGUGGGGAGCAAACGGGAUUAGAUACCCCGGUAGUCCACGCUGUAAACGAUGAGUACUAGGUGUGGGUGGAGUGAAAUCUAUCUGUGCCGAAGCAAACGCGCUAAGUACUCCGCCUGGGGAGUACGGCCGCAAGGCUAAAACUCAAAGGAAUUGACGGG